CCGGGGAGCCGGGCAGCCGCGUCAUUCGCAAGAAUGCCGAGGAAAGUCCGGGCUCCACGAAACAAGGGUGGCGGGUAACGCCCGCCGGGCGAGGGAGGUUUUCAGGCCUGCCGAAGCUCAGGGAAAGUGCCACAGAGAGUAUACCGCCGAUGGAGCCAAAAGCUCACAGGCAAGGGUGAAAGGGUGCGGUAAAAGCGCACCGCGCUUCCGGUAACGGCAAGCGGCAUGGCAAACCCCACCCGGAGCAAGACCGAAUAGGGGCUGCUGGCUAUCUUCGGAUGGCGGGCCGGUUUCGGACCCAGGCAGCCCGGGUUGGUCGCUGGAGCGGCGCGGCAACGCGCCGCCAAGAGGAAUGGCUGCCACCGCGGCGUAAGGUCCCUCUCUAGGGAGACCACGCCAGGCACAGAACCCGGCUUACAGGCUCCCCGGCACA
RNAcentral lists this RNase P RNA (433 nucleotides) under Novosphingobium beihaiense. RNAcentral describes it as "RNase P RNA component class A". It matches the Rfam family "Bacterial RNase P class A". Rfam says of the family: Ribonuclease P (RNase P) is a ubiquitous endoribonuclease, found in archaea, bacteria and eukarya as well as chloroplasts and mitochondria. Its best characterised activity is the generation of mature 5'-ends of tRNAs by cleaving the 5'-leader elements of precursor-tRNAs. The record is from RNAcentral. Lineage: Bacteria; Pseudomonadati; Pseudomonadota; Alphaproteobacteria; Sphingomonadales; Sphingomonadaceae.